CUCUGUGACUUCAAGGUGUGGUAGCAAACACCUUUAAUCCCAAUGCCUGGGAGGCAGAGACAGGCGGAUCUCUGAGAGUUCAAGGAGAGCCUGGUCUACAGAGUUAUUCCAGGUCAAAGAGAUACAGAGAAUAUAAAAUAAAAGUAAAAAUAAACGAAAUAGAGGUUAAAAUAAAGCGUACAAAGAUGGAAAAUACACAGAGAAUCUUGAUACUGUAUACUAUUAUGCUCUCUUUGAAUUGUUUGAAUGCUGAGGAAGGAGCAACAGAUGCUAAAAGAUAUUUGUUUAUAAAUGCUGCUGAACUAAUCCAUCGUAGAGAUUUUGAUGCCUUGACUUUGAAAUUUGGAUCUAAGGACAUGAUACUUUGGAAAGGAGUUUCUUAUUUUGUUUUCACAGAGGAUGAGACCCUGUUCAUUUCUUCUAUUCCGAUAUGGUAUGAUGGACCACGCCCUCCUGAACGGUUGCUGUGAAUACCUUCAGAAAAUUGCUUCGCUCAACUGCCAACUGAGAUGAAACUAGCACACAGGUUAUACCAUGAAAGACCUAAUUAACGACGCCCCCAUUCAGCAGGAAGCAGUUUGGAGAGAAAAAACUGCGCCCAUAUUCCCAAAUAUUGUUUAUAAAUGUUCUUUUACAUUUAAAGGGGGAGAUGAUAUAGGUAUGAAUAAUUUACAUUGAUAUGGAUUUUGCUUUAGUGAUUUAAAUUUAAGGUCAAUUUUGUAAUGUAUAUAGGUUGUUAAUGAAUAAUCAUUAAUAAUAGUUAAGUUUGUAGUCAUGUUAGUUAAGAUUUUCUAGAUGUGCAUAGAUAUAUUUUAGAUAGGCAUUCUUCAUAUUUUUCAAAGAUUAUAGAAUAUGGCAUUUUAAAUGUUUUAAUAACUUAGGACUUUUCAUGACAAUGAGACACUCUGCUCCUGGCAGCACCAAUCUACUUCAAGAGGAAGAUGGGCAUCGAAGAGGAUCCUUAUGGAGUUUGAUAGCCAUUUGGGCAAGAAACUGCUCUUGCCUGGACUAUUGCAUAAACUGGACACAGAGAACCCGCAGAGAGAGGACUGCUGAACUUGCCUAAAGGUGAGAUGAUCUUUCGGGGUUCCUGAUUCAUGAAAGAGUCUGCAAGACAUUCUUCAGGACAAGCAGAUAGUGACUGCCUUUGAAAGUUCCUGCUUUGUGGAAAUGUCUGCUGGAAACUAUGGGCCUCUAGGCUGAAGAUGGAUGCCCCAACGGUACAGAGGAACUUUGGGUGACUGUCCAGGCAGUGAGAUGUCUCUGUCAUUUCUAGAGUUUGAGAGUUUGCUUAUUUCUUAUUUGUUUAGGUAAUAUUGUAUCUUUCUGGACUGUUUGAUGGAGUUAAGAAUAGUUAGCUAUAGUUAUAGUUUUUCUUAGUUAUGAUAUAGAUUAUUGUAAUUUUUACUUGAUAACUGUUUUGUUAUAUGUAAUUUUGGGAUGUUAAGUUAAAGCCUUUUUUUUUUUUGUUUAAACAGAAAAAGGGGAAGUGAUGUGGGAGUGUCAUAUAUCAAUCUGUUGAUUUCAUUGGUUAAGUUAUAAUAAACCAGCUGCUUGGCCUCAUGGCUGGAACAUAGAUGGGAGGAGUAAACAGAAUAGAAUUCUGGGCGGAAGAGGAAGUGAGGUCAGACUCUGCUCUGCUCCCAGAGAGACCCGACAGCUCUGCUGGAGCAGAGACGCCAUGCUCAGCUCUCCCAGGCAGCUGCAACCCACGAUGGACUUAGGCUAGAAUCUUUCCGCACCAAUCUACUUCAAGAGGAAGAUGGGC
Molecule: long non-coding RNA, 1768 nt
Organism: Alexandromys fortis (reed vole)
Lineage: Eukaryota; Metazoa; Chordata; Mammalia; Rodentia; Cricetidae
Exons: 3
Source: RefSeq, a predicted model, not a curated record